GGACCUCAAAUCAGACGGGGCUACCCGCUGAAUUA
RNAcentral lists this ribosomal RNA (35 nucleotides) under Planomonas micra. RNAcentral's name for it is "partial 28S ribosomal RNA". Lineage: Eukaryota; Ancyromonadida; Planomonadidae. RNAcentral also lists the same sequence under 1 other name. The record is from RNAcentral.